AAGAUCGUACUUUCAGGGAUCAUUUCUUGAGUGCGUAUCUUGGCCUCUCGAGGCAACCUUGACGACCUUCGUCAGUCCGAUGAUGACAGGUGGCGUCUCUCCACAGCAUGAGAGUGCAGUCGAAGUACUGACUUCGGUUGUGUCGAUGAUUGCUUGCCCUUCUGGGAAACGGAGAGUUCGCUAUCUGAGGGCU
Small nucleolar RNA from Symsagittifera roscoffensis, 193 nucleotides. RefSeq annotates it as small nucleolar RNA U3. The record is from RefSeq and is a predicted model, not a curated record. Lineage: Eukaryota; Metazoa; Xenacoelomorpha; Acoela; Convolutidae. The transcript has a single exon.